UACGAGGGGGGCAAGCGUUAUUCGGAGUUACUGGGCGUAAAGUGCGUGUAGGCGGUUUGUUAAGUUAAGUGUUAAAUCCUGCAGCUUAACUGUAGUAGUGCAUUUAAUACUGACAGACUAGAGUACGAAAGAGGGAAGUGGAAUUCUCGGAGUAGCGGUAAAAUGCGUAGAUCUCGAGAGGAACACCGGUGGCGAAGGCGGCUUCCUGGUUCGAUACUGACGCUCAAAUGCGAAGGCGUGGGGAGCAAACAGG
RNAcentral lists this ribosomal RNA (253 nucleotides) under uncultured bacterium. Its description in RNAcentral is "partial 16S ribosomal RNA". It matches the Rfam family "Bacterial small subunit ribosomal RNA", at positions 524 to 776 of the family's 1533-position model. The record is from RNAcentral.